Molecule: unclassified non-coding RNA, 233 nt
Filed under: Hevea brasiliensis (rubber tree)
Lineage: Eukaryota; Viridiplantae; Streptophyta; Magnoliopsida; Malpighiales; Euphorbiaceae
Source: RNAcentral
CCCUCACUGGCAUCAUCUCAAAAUCGGCCACAACAUCUUUUAGACUCCCACACCUAGUGUAGAACAAAAUAAUUGCAUUAUUAAUACUCAAGUUGCACUCUAACCCAAUUCUAAUGGCAUGUCCAUGAACCUCUCUACCUCCCAUCACAGCAUGGCACCCAGCACAAGCAGUCAACACCGUUGAUAGAGUAAAUUGAUCAGAUUUAAAAUCAGUAGUUCGGUGCAAAUCUCGA